CCUAACACAUGCAAGUCGAGCGGAAACGAGUUAUCUGAACCUUCGGGGAACGAUAACGGCGUCGAGCGGCGGACGGGUGAGUAAUGCCUAGGAAAUUGCCCUGAUGUGGGGGAUAACCAUUGGAAACGAUGGCUAAUACCGCAUGAUGCCUACGGGCCAAAGAGGGGGACCUUCGGGCCUCUCGCGUCAGGAUAUGCCUAGGUGGGAUUAGCUAGUUGGUGAGGUAAGGGCUCACCAAGGCAACGAUCCCUAGCUGGUCUGAGAGGAUGAUCAGCCACACUGGAACUGAGACACGGUCCAGACUCCUACGGGAGGCAGCAGUGGGGAAUAUUGCACAAUGGGCGCAAGCCUGAUGCAGCCAUGCCGCGUGUGUGAAGAAGGCCUUCGGGUUGUAAAGUACUUUCAGUCGUGAGGAAGGCGGC
This 422-nucleotide ribosomal RNA is filed under the name Vibrio sp. TVMA_03. Its description in RNAcentral is "bacterial SSU rRNA". It matches the Rfam family "Bacterial small subunit ribosomal RNA", at positions 47 to 455 of the family's 1533-position model. Lineage: Bacteria; Pseudomonadati; Pseudomonadota; Gammaproteobacteria; Vibrionales; Vibrionaceae. The record is from RNAcentral.